ACUUUAUACUUUCAAUGGGAUCUGCAUGAGGAGGAAGGCAAGACUGAAAAGUUCUGGCUGGUCUAAUUGGAAUCAGGACAGGUCUGGCUUCAGAACCAAGGCAGAGACAUGGAAAUAAUUUUUCAGAUGAAAUAAAAAUGAGACACCAAGAAGUUCAUUUAUUCAUAUGGUGGAAGAAAGAGCAAGAGUUCUACUUGCGUGAAACUUACAUCAUGUCUGGACAGAAAGACAACAAACACAUGAGCAACAACAACAAAAUACGUAUAUAUAAUGUUUGGAGGAGAUUAGUUCAUGGAGGAAAAAGAAAGCAGAAGGAGGAUUCAGAGGGUGAUGAAGGUGCCACAGCAUCAAGGCUGGCCAGUGAAUGCUGCCCUGCUACUAAGGCAAAACUUGAAUAAAAGCUAGAAUCCCGAGGAAACAAACUGAGCAGAUGCUGUAAUGAAGAGCACUGUUUGCAAAGGGAAGUGCACAUGCAAUGGCCUCAAGGGGGGAGUCUGUCUGUCUGCAGAAGAAGUUCAUGUGGCUGGAGCAGGGUGAGUGAGAGUUUGUAGCAAAGACUGAGAUCAGAUGAGAAACAAAACAAAACAAGAAGCCCCAUCAGGCAGAGUCUUAAAUUCACUGAAAGAUUAGGAAUUUUGUUUUGAGUUAGAUGAUGAGCCAUUGAAGGCUUUGGGACAAAAUGGAGACUCAACCCAACUUUAAAAUGAUAGCAGGUUGUGUAUUACAUUGUAAGGAUGGACACGUCAGUAUCCAUUUGCUAAAACCUAUGGAAUGUCAAGCACAAAGAGUGAACCCCAAUCUAAACUAUGGACUCUGGGAUGAUAAUGAUGUGUCAAUGACUGUAACCAAUGGACCACUCUGGCCUGAGAUAUUGAUUGUAGGGGAGGUUGUACAUGUGCAGACGGGGGACAUAUGAGAACUCUGUUCUUUCUCCUAAAAUUUUCUAUAAACCUAAAACUGCUUUAAAUAUAAAGUCUAUUUAAAAGAAAAAUAACUGGAAGUCUUGUGGACAUUAAGCCAUGGGGAGAAAAAUAGAAUCAGAAAGACGAUUUAGGAGACUAUGGUAAUUAUCUAGGUGAGAAAUAAUGUUGUCUUUCAUAAGAUAGAAGCUAAGAAGGUUUUAAGAAGUAUUAGAUUGUGGACUAUUUUGAAAAUAGAACUGAUGGUAUAUAUAUAUUUUUUUAAUAGGGUGAAUGAAUUGCAUAAGAGAAAGGAAGGUGUUAACAAUGACUUCAGGGUGGUUGGCCUGAGAGUCUUAAAGACUUGAGAUGCCAUUUACCAGCAGAGGAGAGUUGAGGAGAAGAUCAGUUUUAGGAGGUAGAUGAAGAGUUUAGUUUUCAGCAAAAGUUUGAGACAUGGCACACUUGAGAAGUUAAGGAAAUUCCUGCGAGGUCACCUAGUUUUGUAAAUAGCGAAGCUAAGACUAGGACCAGAUAACAUAAACAAAGAAGCUGACUCUCACUGCAGAGUUUAUUAUGCCUUAGCCAACUUUCAGCCACACUUAGUUUAAGUUUUUAUAUACAAACACAAUAAAUAUUCAAGUGGCUGGAGGGAAAAGAUGUCACGAGACCAAGCAUUUUAUGUUGGUCUCAUUCACUGAUCUUUCCCUAAUACCUAACAUAGAGUUUGUCAUGUAUUCACACAAAUAAAAACAUAUUUAAAAAUUAUUUAAUUCAUACACUUUUAAAAAACCUGAAAUAGAAAUCUGUCAGACAUGCAAAAGUUGAGCAAGGUACAGAUAUGGUAAAUUUUAUUUUAUAUUGGAGAAUUUAGACAAGUACCUAAUGGCAUUUUUGCAUGAUUACCUCAGAAAUAUGAGAAUAUACUCCUUACUUGAGAUAAUUGAAACUUUAGUGAAGAACAACAUAAUGCAAACUUUUUUGUCAAUAAGUGAAAAUUCUGGGUGAGUUAUGAAGGAUUAAUAAUUUGUUAGAGAGAAAAGCAACAGUUUGUAAACGAAGAAAAAUGUCUAAGAUACAAUUCUAUACAGGAAACUAUACAAUAAACACUGAAACUGAGAAAAAUGUUUUCCAACAAAGAUAAUGAAAAACUACUGUUUUAUUGUGAAUACAGGAAAUACAGCUAGAUAAAUUGAUAAAGUACUAGGAAAGGCGUAAAAUGCCAA
Molecule: long non-coding RNA, 2125 nt
Organism: Sapajus apella (tufted capuchin)
Lineage: Eukaryota; Metazoa; Chordata; Mammalia; Primates; Cebidae
Exons: 2
Source: RefSeq, a predicted model, not a curated record